RNAcentral lists this ribosomal RNA (460 nucleotides) under uncultured bacterium. RNAcentral describes it as "partial 16S ribosomal RNA". It matches the Rfam family "Bacterial small subunit ribosomal RNA", at positions 338 to 795 of the family's 1533-position model. The record is from RNAcentral.
CCUACGGGUGACAGCAGUGAGGAAUAUUGGUCAAUGGACGCAAGUCUGAACCAGCCAUGCCGCGUGCAGGAAGACGGUGCGAAGAGUUGUAAACUGCUUUUGUAAGAGGGUAAAAGCAGAUACGUGUGUCUGUCUGAAAGUAUUGUAAGAAUAAGCAUCGGCUAACUCCGUGCCAGCAGCCGCGGUAAUACGGAGGAUUCAAGCGUUAUCCGGAUUUAUUGGGUUUAAAGGGUGCGUAGGCGGUCGGAUAAGUUAGAGGUGAAAUCCCGGGGCUCAACUUCGGAAUUGCCUCUGAUACUGUUCGUCUAGAGAGUAGUUGAGGUAGGCGGAAUGUAUGGUGUAGCGGUGAAAUGCUUAGAGAUCAUACAGAACACCGAUUGCGAAGGCAGCUUACCAAGCUCCUUCUGACGUUGAGGCACGAAAGCGUGGGUAGCAAACAGGAUUAGAUACCCGGGUAGUC